RNAcentral lists this ribosomal RNA (467 nucleotides) under uncultured bacterium. RNAcentral describes it as "partial 16S ribosomal RNA". It matches the Rfam family "Bacterial small subunit ribosomal RNA", at positions 28 to 506 of the family's 1533-position model. The record is from RNAcentral.
GACGAACGCUGGCGGCGUGCUUAACACAUGCAAGUCGAACGGAAAGGCCCUGCUUUUGUGGGGUGCUCGAGUGGCGAACGGGUGAGUAACACGUGAGUAACCUGCCCUUGACUUUGGGAUAACUUCAGGAAACUGGGGCUAAUACCGGAUAGGAGCUCCUGCUGCAUGGUGGGGGUUGGAAAGUUUCGGCGGUUGGGGAUGGACUCGCGGCUUAUCAGCUUGUUGGUGGGGUAGUGGCUUACCAAGGCUUUGACGGGUAGCCGGCCUGAGAGGGUGACCGGCCACAUUGGGACUGAGAUACGGCCCAGACUCCUACGGGAGGCAACAGUGGGGAAUAUUGCACAAUGGGCGGAAGCCUGAUGCAGCAACGCCGCGUGCGGGAUGACGGCCUUCGGGUUGCAAACCGCUUUCGCCUGUGACGAAGCGUGAGUGACGGUAAUGGGUAAAGAAGCACCGGCUAACUACGU